This 2360-nucleotide ribosomal RNA is filed under the name Shigella flexneri. RNAcentral describes it as "partial 23S ribosomal RNA". It matches the Rfam family "Bacterial large subunit ribosomal RNA", at positions 597 to 2925 of the family's 2925-position model. The record is from RNAcentral. Lineage: Bacteria; Pseudomonadati; Pseudomonadota; Gammaproteobacteria; Enterobacterales; Enterobacteriaceae.
CUGCGUACCUUUUGUAUAAUGGGUCAGCGACUUAUAUUCUGUAGCAAGGUUAACCGAAUAGGGGAGCCGAAGGGAAACCGAGUCUUAACUGGGCGUUAAGUUGCAGGGUAUAGACCCGAAACCCGGUGAUCUAGCCAUGGGCAGGUUGAAGGUUGGGUAACACUAACUGGAGGACCGAACCGACUAAUGUUGAAAAAUUAGCGGAUGACUUGUGGCUGGGGGUGAAAGGCCAAUCAAACCGGGAGAUAGCUGGUUCUCCCCGAAAGCUAUUUAGGUAGCGCCUCGUGAAUUCAUCUCCGGGGGUAGAGCACUGUUUCGGCAAGGGGGUCAUCCCGACUUACCAACCCGAUGCAAACUGCGAAUACCGGAGAAUGUUAUUACGGGAGACACACGGCGGGUGCUAACGUCCGUCGUGAAGAGGGAAACAACCCAGACCGCCAGCUAAGGUCCCAAAGUCAUGGUUAAGUGGGAAACGAUGUGGGAAGGCCCAGACAGCCAGGAUGUUGGCUUAGAAGCAGCCAUCAUUUAAAGAAAGCGUAAUAGCUCACUGGUCGAGUCGGCCUGCGCGGAAGAUGUAACGGGGCUAAACCAUGCACCGAAGCUGCGGCAGCGACGCUUAUGCGUUGUUGGGUAGGGGAGCGUUCUGUAAGCCUGUGAAGGUGUGCUGUGAGGUAUGCUGGAGGUAUCAGAAGUGCGAAUGCUGACAUAAGUAACGAUAAAGCGGGUGAAAAGCCCGCUCGCCGGAAGACCAAGGGUUCCUGUCCAACGUUAAUCGGGGCAGGGUGAGUCGACCCCUAAGGCGAGGCCGAAAGGCGUAGUCGAUGGGAAACAGGUUAAUAUUCCUGUACUUGGUGUUACUGCGAAGGGGGGACGGAGAAGGCUAUGUUGGCCGGGCGACGGUUGUCCCGGUUUAAGCGUGUAGGCUGGUUUUCCAGGCAAAUCCGGAAAAUCAAGGCCGAGGCGUGAUGACGAGGCACUACGGUGCUGAAGCAACAAAUGCCCUGCUUCCAGGAAAAGCCUCUAAGCAUCAGGUAACAUCAAAUCGUACCCCAAACCGACACAGGUGGUCAGGUAGAGAAUACCAAGGCGCUUGAGAGAACUCGGGUGAAGGAACUAGGCAAAAUGGUGCCGUAACUUCGGGAGAAGGCACGCUGAUACGUAGGUGAAGCGACUUGCUCGUGGAGCUGAAAUCAGUCGAAGAUACCAGCUGGCUGCAACUGUUUAUUAAAAACACAGCACUGUGCAAACACGAAAGUGGACGUAUACGGUGUGACGCCUGCCCGGUGCCGGAAGGUUAAUUGAUGGGGUUAGCGCAAGCGAAGCUCUUGAUCGAAGCCCCGGUAAACGGCGGCCGUAACUAUAACGGUCCUAAGGUAGCGAAAUUCCUUGUCGGGUAAGUUCCGACCUGCACGAAUGGCGUAAUGAUGGCCAGGCUGUCUCCACCCGAGACUCAGUGAAAUUGAACUCGCUGUGAAGAUGCAGUGUACCCGCGGCAAGACGGAAAGACCCCGUGAACCUUUACUAUAGCUUGACACUGAACAUUGAGCCUUGAUGUGUAGGAUAGGUGGGAGGCUUUGAAGUGUGGACGCCAGUCUGCAUGGAGCCGACCUUGAAAUACCACCCUUUAAUGUUUGAUGUUCUAACGUGGACCCGUGAUCCGGGUUGCGGACAGUGUCUGGUGGGUAGUUUGACUGGGGCGGUCUCCUCCUAAAGAGUAACGGAGGAGCACGAAGGUUGGCUAAUCCUGGUCGGACAUCAGGAGGUUAGUGCAAUGGCAUAAGCCAGCUUGACUGCGAGCGUGACGGCGCGAGCAGGUGCGAAAGCAGGUCAUAGUGAUCCGGUGGUUCUGAAUGGAAGGGCCAUCGCUCAACGGAUAAAAGGUACUCCGGGGAUAACAGGCUGAUACCGCCCAAGAGUUCAUAUCGACGGCGGUGUUUGGCACCUCGAUGUCGGCUCAUCACAUCCUGGGGCUGAAGUAGGUCCCAAGGGUAUGGCUGUUCGCCAUUUAAAGUGGUACGCGAGCUGGGUUUAGAACGUCGUGAGACAGUUCGGUCCCUAUCUGCCGUGGGCGCUGGAGAACUGAGGGGGGCUGCUCCUAGUACGAGAGGACCGGAGUGGACGCAUCACUGGUGUUCGGGUUGUCAUGCCAAUGGCACUGCCCGGUAGCUAAAUGCGGAAGAGAUAAGUGCUGAAAGCAUCUAAGCACGAAACUUGCCCCGAGAUGAGUUCUCCCUGACCCUUUAAGGGUCCUGAAGGAACGUUGAAGACGACGACGUUGAUAGGCCGGGUGUGUAAGCGCAGCGAUGCGUUGAGCUAACCGGUACUAAUGAACCGUGAGGCUUAACCUUACAACGCCGAAG